AAUAAUAUAGUAUAAAUAGUACAAUUGAUUUCCAAUCAUAAGGUAGAAAUAUUUAUUUUUU
RNAcentral lists this transfer RNA (61 nucleotides) under Araneus diadematus (European garden spider). RNAcentral describes it as "tRNA-Gly". The record is from RNAcentral. Lineage: Eukaryota; Metazoa; Arthropoda; Arachnida; Araneae; Araneidae.